AGUGAACGCUGGCGGUAGGCCUAACACAUGCAAGUCGAACGGCAGCACAGUAAGAGCUUGCUCUUACGGGUGGCGAGUGGCGGACGGGUGAGGAAUAAAUCGGAAUCUACUUUUUCGUGGGGGAUAACGUAGGGAAACUUACGCUAAUACCGCAUACGACCUACGGGUGAAAGCAGGGGAUCUUCUGACCUUGCGCGAUUGAAUGAGCCGAUGUCGGAUUAGCUAGUUGGCGGGGUAAAGGCCCACCAAGGCGACGAUCCGUAGCUGGUCUGAGAGGAUGAUCAGCCACACUGGAACUGAGACACGGUCCAGACUCCUACGGGAGGCAGCAGUGGGGAAUAUUGGACAAUGGGCGCAAGCCUGAUCCAGCCAUACCGCGUGGGUGAAGAAGGCCUUCGGGUUGUAAAGCCCUUUUGUUGGGAAAGAAAAGCAGCAGGUUAAUACCCCGCUGUUCUGACGGUACCCAAAGAAUAAGCACCGGCUAACUUCGUG
RNAcentral lists this ribosomal RNA (492 nucleotides) under uncultured bacterium. RNAcentral's name for it is "partial 16S ribosomal RNA". It matches the Rfam family "Bacterial small subunit ribosomal RNA", at positions 29 to 507 of the family's 1533-position model. The record is from RNAcentral.